AGAUUCGCUACCGCAGAGCUCUAGCUCCGGAGCGCGCCAAGUUGAAGGCCAAAGUCGAGGUUGGGAUGCCCGAUGCCUGGCGCGGGGAGACGGAGGAAGCAAAGUGCUGGAAGGAAGCAAGACUGGUAGCUGAGAUGAAAGAGGUGGUGGAGGAAUGAAUUGGUUUGGAAAAGUGAAGACAUUUUUGUAGAGGAGAACUGAAUGAGUUGCUGACAAAUGUCAGUAGGACUGCCAGGCAGUGCUGAGGACCUUGUUGAGAGUGACCUUCAAUAUUGCUAAUAAUGAGCCUGGUCUUGGAGAUGAGGAGGUCAAACUGAGGGGCCUUUGUGUUGGAGGAAUUGCCCAUAUAAUGUACUGAAGUCACUGAGGAUGAUGGUGGACCUUCAGGAGAGAGGAGGAUCAUGGGCUAAAGAUUAAAGUCUUCACGGCUGCCUGGUGGAAAUACAGUAUUAUAUAAUGACAUGCUACUAUGCAUCUCUACCUAACUCCUCGUCUGGUGAUGCCAUAUUGAAAUCAGCCAUACUGAGAGUAUUUACACACUGCUGAAGUCAGUAAAUGCUACAAAUCAAGGCUUGAAUGUAACCUACAUGAGAAAGAGUUGCCUUGCUCACUGCCGUAUCCCAGUAUCCCAAGAACCUUGGAGAUGCUCUAUGAAUACUGAAUGAAUCUGAGAGGAAACUAGCCCGAAGGGGGAAGGCUCUGGAAGCAAGCCCUCAUGGACCAACGGAGAGUGAGUGUCAUCAUUUUAUGUUUUCUCCAAAUCUUGUAAACAAUGUGUUUUAGUCUUAGCCUGUCAUAUGCAGCUGAAAUCUGGGGCAAAUAAAAUCACAUAGAUGGAAAAGGAAACUGAAUCUUGGGGAGAUUAAGCAACUCUUUCAAGGUCAACCGGGGAGCGGCAGAACCAGAGUUCGAAGGAAACCUUUCUGAAUCUGACGUCUGCCCCUUCUAAAUUAGGACUCUCAUCUAUCAGCCUGUGAGAAAAAAUACAGAAAGCAUCAUUCAGGCAACACAUGAACUCAAGACACUGAGACUUCGCUAACCUUCCUCGCACACAAGGUCCUAAAGGAACUACCACACGCAUGUCCACAUUUGAUGCACAUAACAGACUCUCACCGCAUUGAAAUAAACCCCAGUAUGAUCAUA
Molecule: long non-coding RNA, 1143 nt
Filed under: Homo sapiens (human)
Lineage: Eukaryota; Metazoa; Chordata; Mammalia; Primates; Hominidae
Description: HSALNT0181285
Source: RNAcentral